UACGUAGGUGGCAAGCGUUGCCCGGAUUUACUGGGCGUAAAGAGCGCGCAGGCGGUCAUUCAAGUCGAGUGUGAAAGCCCCCGGCUCAACUGGGGAGGGUCACUCGAUACUGUUUGACUCGAAGGCGGGAGAGGGAAGUGGAAUUCCCGGUGUAGUGGUGAAAUGCGUAGAUAUCGGGAGGAACACCAGUGGCGAAGGCGACUUCCUGGCCCGUUCUUGACGCUGAGGCGCGAAAGCUAGGGGAGCAAACGGG
This 253-nucleotide ribosomal RNA is filed under the name uncultured bacterium. RNAcentral describes it as "partial 16S ribosomal RNA". It matches the Rfam family "Bacterial small subunit ribosomal RNA", at positions 524 to 776 of the family's 1533-position model. The record is from RNAcentral.